ACAGAAGGAAGAGCAGGUUUCUCACGGCAUGUCAGCCCAGGGCUCCCACAUGUGGCCUCCCACCCUCAUCUUCACACAUUCUCACACCUUCCGGAGUACAGAGGCGAGUGGGGUGCAGAUGGUCCUCCCUACAUCGGCCUCCUGCCCCCAACAGGAUUCCUCACAUCCCAGGACCAGCUGGAAAAGGUGGUGAGAGUUGGAAAGAGACUGCUCAGUGAGGACUGCCCUGCGAACCAGCUUGGAUUCAUCCCGUUCACCUCCACGUUCUGCACUCGGGGCCGAGGGAAGGGAGGCAGCCCAGGCAGCUAGAGAACUUGAUGAAACACACUCAAUCUGAAUCUCGCUUGAUCGUCAUGCUGACCCAGUGAGUCUACUCAGGGUCAGGCAUCCUUUCCGACUACUCACUCAGCAGCGGAUCCCCACCCGCCUCUGACUCCCAGUGUCUUUCGGCUCCAACGUAAGUUCACCGAACGUCUAAGAGCUGAGGAUUCAAAGGCAUGUAAGACCGCCCCUGCCCUCAGCUGCAAGACCUGUCCGCGAUCCUACGAGCCCCAUUCCGCCCUCUUUCCCCGACCUUGGUCCCCCAUGGGCCCUACAACCAGGUCCCCGACUGACACCUUGACCAGCGAACACAGCAAACAGGCCCGCAGAUGCCGCAGGUCCUUCGGCACCGUCUCCAGGGCCAUCUUCGCCGAUGGGAAGAACAACAGGGAGAUAGACGACCACAGCCUGUGCACCCGCAGGAAGUAAAUAGCUCGUUACCCAGAAUGCCCACCACUUCCGGCGCUUAGACUUCCUCUUCCGGUGUGGGCGGACGCCAGCUCCGCCCCUACCCCCGCCAGAGGAGAUGGUUUCUCCCGCCAGCAGGCGGGGAGGCUGGGCGGCCGGCCGCCACCUGGGCCGGAGCGCGUCGCAGCCACCUGAGCCCGCCGAGGGCGCGGCGGAGGCUGUGUGGGGUAGUCAGCGGGCCCCCGGGGCGGGGGGGCGGCUGCGCUUGCGCGGGAGUGUGUCGGGCUGAGCCGCAGCGCCGAGACGCGGGCUGUUUGAUCUGGGCUGGUGGCCCUGGGCGUCGGUCCUGUUCCCCGAUGGUAACCCGAAGUUUGUUUUUUUUUGUUUUGUCUCCCCGUUUUAGAAGCAUUGGGGGCAGUGAAUCCACUGUCUCCCUCUGGAUUGUCUCUGCAGAGACCGAGAAGAAAUCCAGGGACAGCCCCACCCCUCCUUCCUAACUGCGAGAGCGCUAUAGGGUUUCCACUUGCUUCCCACAGGAAUGCUGGCCUGGGAGCUACGGCGGAAAAAAAUGCGUAUUUAUCUUUUAAAACUCCGUCUGUUUGCUCGUUCCGGCUGAUAAUUUAUACUUUGCGCAGUUCUUAGCGCUUAGACACGGUUCCUUUACUAAAGACCAUUUGUAGGAGAUUAGGUGUCCUUUUUUUCCCUUUCAUUUCACCGUCUAGGAAGCGAAAUGCCUUGUUCUAUAGGCACUAAACCACCACCCCUACCAAACCUUUCUCGGGGAAGCAGAAGGGGAACUUGUGCCUUGUGAGGAAGCGACAAAGGCCCCUUCUGGCCCUGGAGACUUCACGCCAAUGGAGCACCAGCUCUCUGUCCUCGCAAUAGCCCGAGUGCAGGCAGAACGCAGUCAUUUGUGUUUAUCUGAGAGGAGCUUUGGGAUAUAAAUAGUUUCAGGCCCCGCUGCGCUGUCAUUCCAGCCCAGCCUCCUGAUUGAGCUGCUUCCGGGCGGGCUUUCUUCUUGUUGGCGGUCCCAUGCUGUGUUCAGAUGGGCUCUGUGACAGGUUUGGAUGUUUUCUAUCACUGAAUAAAACUUUCCACUUUGGAACAUAUUUUCUACACUCUAUUAUCUCAUGUAAGUCCUGCAACAACUAUUAAGUAGGCCCAUUUUAUGGACUGAAAAAGCGAGGCACAGAGUAUUUGCCCAAGGUCUGAGUCACUGAAGUAUGAUAAUGUGUGAAGUGAACAGUAUAAUAAUAAUGACUGAAGCACAGUAAGAAUCCAGUCAUGCUUUCUCCUUCCCUGAUCUCACUAAGCCACACUUUUAGGGGCUUACAAACCAGUUCUUAUUGCCAAGCCCUCUACUCUACCCUAUCCUUUCAUGAAUCGGAGCCUAGCCUCUGAUAACAUAAAUAAUUUACUUCUCUUGAUGUAGAAAGAGAUGACGUUGUUACCCUGAGUGACAGUCACGACAGAACAAAACCACAAGACCAGACCACAUUUGUGGAUAAAUAUAUUAGCAAAUAAAUAUAUUUCUUAACAUAGUGCCUGAAAAAAAAAAAAAAAAAA
Molecule: long non-coding RNA, 2295 nt
Filed under: Homo sapiens (human)
Lineage: Eukaryota; Metazoa; Chordata; Mammalia; Primates; Hominidae
Description: TSPOAP1, SUPT4H1 and RNF43 antisense RNA 1, transcript variant 2 (TSPOAP1-AS1)
Source: RNAcentral